CGAACGGAAAGGCUGCUUUUGUGGUGCUCGAGUGGCGAACGGGUGAGUAACACGUGAGUACCUGCCCUUGACUUUGGGAUAACUUCAGGAAACUGGGGCUAAUACCGGAUAGGCUGGCAUGGUGAAAGUUUCGGCGGUUGGGGAUGGACUCGCGGCUUAUCAGCUUGUUGGUGGGGUAGUGGCUUACCAAGGCUUUGACGGGUAGCCGGCCUGAGAGGGUGACCGGCCACAUUGGGACUGAGAUACGGCCCAGACUCCUACGGGAGGCAGCAGUGGGGAAUAUUGCACAAUGGGCGGAAGCCUGAUGCAGCAACGCCGCGUGCGGGAUGACGGCCUUCGGGUUGUAAACCGCUUUCGCCUGUGACGAAGCGUGAGUGACGGUAAUGGGUAAAGAAGCACCGGCUAACUACGUGCCAGCAGCCGCGGUGAUACGUAGGGUGCGAGCGUUGUCCGGAUUUAUUGGGCGUAAAGGGCUCGUAGGUGGUUGAUCGCGUCGGAAGUGUA
RNAcentral lists this ribosomal RNA (504 nucleotides) under uncultured bacterium. RNAcentral's name for it is "bacterial SSU rRNA". It matches the Rfam family "Bacterial small subunit ribosomal RNA", at positions 63 to 598 of the family's 1533-position model. The record is from RNAcentral.